CCUACGGGAGGCUGCAGUGGGGAAUAUUGGACAAUGGGGGCAACCCUGAUCCAGCCAUGCCGCGUGUGUGAAGAAGGCCUUUUGGUUGUAAAGCACUUUAAGCAGGGAGGAGAGGCUAAUGGUUAAUACCCAUUAGAUUAGACGUUACCUGCAGAAUAAGCACCGGCUAACUCUGUGCCAGCAGCCGCGGUAAUACAGAGGGUGCGAGCGUUAAUCGGAAUUACUGGGCGUAAAGCGAGUGUAGGUGGCUCAUUAAGUCACAUGUGAAAUCCCCGGGCUUAACCUGGGAACUGCAUGUGAUACUGGUGGUGCUAGAAUAUGUGAGAGGGAAGUAGAAUUCCAGGUGUAGCGGUGAAAUGCGUAGAGAUCUGGAGGAAUACCGAUGGCGAAGGCAGCUUCCUGGCAUAAUAUUGACACUGAGAUUCGAAAGCGUGGGUAGC
Molecule: ribosomal RNA, 440 nt
Filed under: uncultured bacterium
Lineage: Bacteria
Description: bacterial SSU rRNA
Rfam family: Bacterial small subunit ribosomal RNA
Source: RNAcentral